UCGAGCGAGAAAGCCCNUUCGGGGUGAGUACAGCGGCGGACGGGUGAGUAACGCGUAGGAAUCUACCCAGUAGUGGGGGACAACUAGUGGAAACGCUAGCUAAUACCGCAUACGCCCUACGGGGGAAAGCGGGGGACCUUCGGGCCUCGUGCUAUUGGAUGAGCCUGCGUAAGAUUAGCUUGUUGGUGAGGUAAUGGCUUACCAAGGCGACGAUCUUUAGCUGGUCUGAGAGGAUGAUCAGCCACACCGGGACUGAGACACGGCCCGGACUCCUACGGGAGGCAGCAGUCGGGAAUAUUGCGCAAUGGGCGAAAGCCUGACGCAGCCAUGCCGCGUGUGUGAAGAAGGCCCUAGGGUUGUAAAGCACUUUCAAUUGGGAGGAAAAGCUAAUGGUUAAUAACCAUUAGCCCUGACGUUACCUUUAGAAGAAGCACCGGCUAACUCCGUGCCAGCAGCCGCGGUAAUACGGAGGGUGCAAGCGUUAAUCGGAAUUACUGGGCGUAAAGCGCGCGUAGGCGGUUUUUUAAGUCGGAUGUGAAAGCCCCGGGCUCAACCUGGGAACUGCAUCCGAUACUGGAUGACUAGAAUGCGGGAGAGGGAGGUAGAAUUCCAUGUGUAGCAGUGAAAUGCGUAGAUAUAUGGAGGAAUACCAGUGGCGAAGGCGGCCUCCUGGCUCGACAUUGACGCUGAGGUGCGAAAGCGUGGGGAGCAAACGGGAUUAGAUACCCCGGUAGUCCACGCCGUAAACGAUGUCUACUAGCUGUAGGGGUACUUGAGACCUUUGUAGCGCAGCUAACGCAAUAAGUAGACCGCC
This 814-nucleotide ribosomal RNA is filed under the name uncultured Gammaproteobacteria bacterium. Its description in RNAcentral is "SSU rRNA". It matches the Rfam family "Bacterial small subunit ribosomal RNA", at positions 62 to 873 of the family's 1533-position model. Lineage: Bacteria; Pseudomonadati; Pseudomonadota; Gammaproteobacteria. The record is from RNAcentral.